CCCUUGCGCUGUGUCUCCACUUUCUGGUUCCAGCAGCCCUUUUUCCUUCAUUGUCCAAGAAGUUUCCUGGACUAGACCCCAAGGGAAGCCCGAGGAGGAGACAGCUUUCUCCUCUCUCCUUCUUGCCAGGGGCAUUGACUGCAUCACUUGGCUCCCCAUGAACCUUAGCGUCUUCUUCUGUGGCAUUAGGGUGGUAAUUCCUGUUCUGUAUGCUUCCAGGACUGAUGAUCACAUCCCAAAUGGCGACGUAGAAGUGUGGCCCUUGCAUUGUAUCUGGGUCCACUGUCACCAUUAUGUGCCUUUAAAUUUCUGACAUGCACCACAACACAGAACAUUCUGCAUGUGUUUUACUAGAUUCUCCUAGCACUCGGACGACCCGAGGAUGCUAUAGAUUAUCUGGACAUCUGUGACUGAGACACUGAGGCCUGGAGAGGUCGAGGAAGGAGCCAGAAGUGGAAACAGCUGGACCCAGUCUUGCUCUCUUCACCUCUAUGGGCUUAACCCUGAUUCCAAGGCUUCUUCUUCAGCUGCCGCUCUUUGCAGGUGGUAUCUGUGUGAGCAUUUGAGUUACAUUUUGUCUGUAACAAUGUAACAGAUGUCAUUGUGUGAAGGGGUUACAUUUCUCACAGCCGGCCUCUACACCGUCCUUAGUGCUGGGAAUACAACAUGGACACCAGGAAGUCAGGAAGAGCUCUUGCCCUCAAACUGCAAUUGGGAGUAGGGUGGGGGUGGCAGUGUCUGAGACAGGAAGCAAAGGACAGACACCUGCUACCGUUACAUUUAAGAUGGAGUUAGUGCCUUGUAUGAUAAGGGCUGGUUGCACAGAAAUGGCACCCUCGGGUGGCAGAGGGGCGCAGGUGGAGUUUGGGGCUCAGUGGGUUAAGGUGCUUGCUGUGUGAGCCCGAUUAGAAGGUGGGAAGGCAGAACCAACGCUGCCCUCUAACUCCACACAUGUGCCGAUUUGUCUCUCAUAUAAUAGUAAAAAUUUUAAAAGAAACAGAGGCGGGCUGGAGCUCUUGGUAGGAGCAUCCAGGAGCAGAGGACAGAGGUUUGCCUGAGUCAGGGCAGGUCCUUAGGGAAGUGAUUGAGAGGAAAGGGGAAGAGGGUGGGUCGCAGAGACUCUCAAAUGCAAGCUCAAGGGUUGGUUUGUUGUCUGUUGGUGUGCUCUCUCCAAGGUCUCCUGUAGCCCAGGAGGCCUUCGCGUACCCACAGUGUAACCCAGGGUUACCUUGAAUUCCUGUCUCUACUUCUCAAGCACUGACACACACAACUGUUCUACAUGCUGGGGUCAAGCCUUUGUGGAUGGCUCUUACGUAUGUUAGGUAUAUGCUCUACUCAUGCUACACCUCCCAGACCCCUGAGAGCUGCAGAGCAGGAGUUCUCAGGGGUGACUGACUUGGACCUUCAGGGGACUUCUGAUGGCAGCUAUGGCUAGGAAGAAGGAAUGCAAUUACUAUCUAGUUGGUAGAAUCCAGGGACACUGGGAAACAUCUCAAUACAGCCCAGAACCAAAGAGGCGACCCCCAAUCAUGGGCUAAACAAGAAAUUCUGUCUAGGAGACUUUACAGUGGGAGUAAGACCCUUGGUCACGUCUGCUCAGACAUAGGCUGCUGUAACAGGCCAUCUCGCUUUGUGCAGCUAUAACCCAGGUAGCCACAUGCUCUGCUUCCUUACUCAAUUCUUCUAUUUUCAGUAGUGAGCUUAGCCUGUAAUGGCUGAUCCAUCUCUCCGGCCCUCCAGUUCCCACCCCCCUACCCUCUACCCGACGCCCCCGGGACUGAACCCAGGGCCUCGAACUUGCUAGGCAAGCGCUCUACCACUGAGCUAAGUCCCCAACCUCCAGCCCUCCAAUCCUUAUUCCCAAGGAAGAAUGCCUUUAAAGGCGGGUGUGUAGGGAGCGCCAGCCCUCGGGCUAAGCUGCUCUUGGGUGUUCACUUAGGGAUCUUCUCAGUGAUUUGGUGAUGUAAACCCCAUGUGACACACAGGGAAACAGGCCCUCUUGGGGACGUGUGUGUCUUGUUUGCUGCUGUCUAUAGAGCAGUAUCUAAGCCAGUGUUUGUGGGAGAGGAAAUGAACUCCCACUGUAAAUGCUUCAUGGCUUCAGGGUUCACAGAUCUCCUGUCACUGUGAAGAAACGGAGGCCCAGAGAGGUGGAGGGUCUCCUGUGGAGUAACACACCAGGACCUCCUUCCUUGCUUUUCUAUUGAAUACCUGGGAGUGCCAGUUUCCUUGGACCACUGGAACCUUACUCUGCUUCUACUGCUGGCGGGUGGGACUGACAGCCAGAGGGACAUUUCUGAGAUGCUCAGAGGGUGACAGGGUAGGUCUUCCUGGAGUCCCAGCCAAGCUGGAAAGCAGAGCUUGUUGUAGUCUGAGUAGGGAGCUCAGUCAGUGCAAUGUGAGAAUUCAGAGAGAUUCAGAUGCCAAGCAGUCUCCAUGCUAUGUCCUUUGGGUGGACGUCUCAGCAAGUCCCACACCCCAAGCAGCAUGCAGAGAUGGCAUUCCUAUUGUUACUUGUCAAAAGUUUAGAGAAAUAUUCUGUCUAAGGGAAUCCAUGAGGAGGCUGAAGACCAGCUAUUAUCUUGAUGUCCCCAUUAACUUGAACUCAGCGUGUGAAUGGCCAGGGCUUUACUAUUUGAAGUCCUGAUCUUCAUUUUGGAAACAGGGUCAUAGACCUCAGCCUCAAGGUCUAUAGAAGAACCACAAUGAACAUGGUCCAGCACCAUCCACAAAAUAAUAGGUUCUACUCUUGGACCCCUCCUCAGGUCUGGACUUUGGGGUGAAAAAGUCAACUUGAGGGAGGGAGAGUUUAUUUCAGCCCAUGGUUCAAGGAGAGGGAAGGGAAGGCAAGCUGGGCAGGAGCAUGAAGCAGCUGAUCACACCCAUAAACAGGAAGCAAACAGAAGCACGCUCAGCCCCUUCUCCGUCUUCCACAGUUCAGGAUCCUACCAAGGGAAUGAUGCCACCCACAGUGGACGGGUCUUCUGACCUCAAUUAAUACAAUCGAGAUAACUCCCUGGGUAUGCCUAAGAGGUUCAUCUUCUACUUGAUUCUGGGUUCUGUCAGGUUGACAUCAUCCUUCACAGAAGAUAUCAGAGGGUAAAAACCAAGGUCAGGCAGGAUCCUCCUGAGAUUGCUUGAUUGUCCCAUGAACCAGGGUCCUGAUGUUCAGUGUACCUUUCCAAUGUAUUGGGCUACCUUAGGCCACAAAGUGGCAAUGCCUGGGGAGGGAGUGUAUGGUGCUUUUUCCAGGCUUCCCCCACAGUUAAUGGGACAAAUGAGGGUGUAGUCUUCAUUAGUGUGUGGUAAUUUCCUGCAAGAUGGAAUCUUGUAGGGACACUAGUUAAGACUCAGGCAUGAGACUGGAGAGAUGCUUCAUUGUAAGAGCAUACACUGCUCUUCUUGGAGGACUACUGAAAAAUUUUUUUAAAAAAGAUUUAUCAUUUAUUAUAUAUAUAAGUACACUGUAGCUGUCUUCAGAUACACCAGAAGAAGGCAUCGGAUCUCUUUACAGAUGGUUGUGAGCCACCAUGUGGUUGCUGGGAAUUGAACUCAGGACCUCUGGAAGAGUAGUCGGGUGCUCUUAACCGCUGAGCCAUCUCUCCAGCCCGGACUACUGAAAUUUGACUCCCAGAAAAUGAGGUCACAUGUAGUAGCUCACAACCUCAGCUCUGAUCAAUCACAUGCUUCUGGCUUUUGAGGGCCACAUGUCCCUCACACACAUAAGUAAAAUAAAAUCUUUUUAAAAAGAAAAUGGUUUAAUAAAGAAAAAAAAAGAUGCAGGAAGCAAACAACUGAGAAGCCCCAGGAAUUCCCUGAAACUGAUCAUAAGCACUAAUCCCUCUAUUCCCCCAAUCUUAUUUAAACAAUAAGAACAGAUGAGACACUCUCAGACAAGCUGAGCUGCCUGGAAGAUACCCUCUCCAACCUAUCAAAUCAUAAGACAUGCUCCAGGAUUCUAGCUUUUGUGAGUUGUCAUUCCAAAGUUCACCAAGUUGGAUCCUUACUUUGGUUUGUCUUUGAGUGCAUGCUUCUAUUCAGGCCCUUCUCCAUCUUUUACAGUCCAGGAUCCUAUUUAGGGAAUGAUUCUACCCACAGUGGAUGGCUCUUCUGACCUCAAUUAACACAAUCAAGAUAACCUCCUGGGUUAUCUUAACCUAUCUGGGAUGUGUAGACAUUCAUUCUUAUCUCCCAGUAAUAGUGUCACACAACAGUCUACCUCACCUCUCUCCUCGAGUCUACAACACCCAGGCUCUACACUGUUCUUUCUAGAAUGUCCUACUUAUGUCUCAGCUCCUGCCCUCCAGCUAAAUCCUGUUUGGCCCCCAGGGCUCGUUGUUGAACUGCUUCUCAGCCUUCUGACUAAGAUCAAGAGUAGGUGUCAGCCGAGAUAGCACAGCUUCCAGGAAGACUUUCAGGAUUACCCUCUACCUGAGUGGGUCUCUUCCUUAGGCUCCCAAAGCCCAUUGCCUUCCCUCCUGUGUACCCACCCUCGGUAUGCCCCACUGCUGGACAUCUUCCUCCAUCAGCCCAUGUUUCCCUUUGGGACAGUUGCUGGAACGCUCUCUCUUGCUUGUCUUCAUUUCCUUGGGGCUGCGCACAAAUGUCAGGCACAGAGCCAUUCCCCAGGGGAUCCUGUUGAGUUUGUGCUGCAACAAUAGCAACCUCUUGCAUAUGGAGUUUCCUAGCUUCAAAGGACUCUUAGAUGGGGGCUGGGGAUUUAGCUCAGUGGUAGAGCGCUUAAGCGCAAGGCCCUGGGUUCGGUCCCCAGCUCCGAAAAAAAAGAACCAAAAAAAAAAAAAAAAAAAAAAGACUCUUAUAUGGCUGUCAUGAUGCUCACAGAAGAAACAGGGUUUGAGGUCGUCAAGUAUGGUGGGAGAUCAGGUACUUGCCCCCUGCAGCACAGGCUGACCGCCCACACCGUCUCCCCCGACUCCCGGGAGGUGGGCGGGGAUAUGCUUGUAAUAUAUUUAGUUCCAAGUGGGAGUCUCUGCAGAGCUCCCCGGCUUGCUGUUUCAAGGAGGGUGGGGUGGGGAGGAGGCCAGGAAUUGUUGCUUUCAGGGCUCAGAGAGGAGCUGGGGCCAGCUUUGUUAGCUGAUGCCCGGAGUGGGCGCGAUCUCAGGAAUGCGCACCUUAAGAGCCAGGGGCUCUCUUCUGCGACAGUUCAGUCGCUGCAAGGCAGAGAAUCCCAAAAAAUGCAGGGGGGAAACCCAGAACAAGAAGGUGGAUGGCCAACUGAACUAGUUCAUCCACUUGGAAUUAUUGGCAACAAUCGAGAAAUAAUAUUUCAGAGCCAGAUGUAGUGCACGCCUGUAACCUCAGCCCUGGACGAUCAGGAGUCCAAAGCCAUCCUCAGUUACUUCACGAGUUAGAGGACAGCCUUGGCUACGUGUGACCUUGCCUCAAAAUUGAAGCCGAGGUUGUAAAUCAGCGCUAGAACACUUGGUAAAAUUGUGGGAGGCUCUGGGUUCCAUCUUUAGUGUGGAAAAAAAAUGAAUACAAAUGCAAGCCUGUUGAUGCACUACAUAUGUGCUGUAUGUAUAGGACAAAGGCGAACAAAGAUGGCGUCUGUGGUGAGACAGACAGUGACUGGGAUGACUCGAGUCACAGUCCUGCUGCUUGCAUACUGUGAACUGGCACAACCCAGCCACGCUGUGCCUCAGUUUCUUCAUGUAAAGGAAGGAGAAAGAAAAUGUCGUACAAGGGCACCACUAAAAUUAAAUGGGUUAUAUUUGUCAGGCUAUGUAAGAUAACCCAUACCACAUACUAAGAGUCAGCUAUUAUAAGUGACAUUUGUCACCUUAGUUAUAUCAAGUUUGUAUAAAUAAUAAGUAUACAUGUAAAUAAUAAUAAUAAUAAUAAUAAUAAUAAUAAUAAUAAUAAUAAUAAUAAUGGGAUAGAAAAAUGUUAACCAUAUUUUGGGGGUGUGUGUGGGUUAGGGUUAAGAUAUAGUUUUUAUUCUCUUUUUUUCUUUUACUUUCAUUGGGGGCGGGGAGGUGUUUUUUGUUUGUGUGUUUUUGUUUUGCAGACAGGGCCUCACCAUGUAUCCCCAACUGUUCUGGAACUUGAUAUGUAGACCAGAAUCACAGAGAUCUGCCUGCCUCUGUCUCUUAAGUGCUGGGAUUAAAGUGCCGGGGUGGAACCCAGUAUCUCAAACAUGCCGAACAAGUCCUCCAUGCUGGGCGACAUCAUAGUCCUCUCCAGCUCGUCUAUGGUGAGGGUCUACUGCUCGAAAUUAUCCAGAAAGAAUAAACCUUGUUCCCCGACAGACAACAAUUGCUGGAAGACGGACUUGAAAGGACCUUCUGUUUGGACAUAAGAGGGAUUGUAUCUCUGCCAUCACCACCCGGACACCCCGGGAACACACCCACAUCAAUGUCGGGAUGACAGCUCACAGGUAGCCCUUCUCUAAACAGUCUGGGCUGUGCCUUCCAUCUCUCAUCUGCUGCUUUAAUGAUUUUAUACGACAUCUGUUGAAACAAAUAGCCUGGGCUGUUUAAAUACCCACAGCUAUAAACUGUCACCACCUGACGGGUAGAGACGGCUCCCCAGGCAGGCAGCAUCAAAAAGGAGACUAAAUCACUCUGUCCACUCCUGCCGGUGUCACACUCCCAGGAUCCAGGGAGACAAGGGCAUGAACAGAGAAGGAAAUGCCAGCUUCUGGGAAAGUGAUUCUGGCCUCAUCUGUUGGCUUGCCAGGCCGGCAGCCUGCCAGAGAGAGAGUAUGCCAGCCAGCUGCCAGCUGGUCUGCAAACGACUGUGCCAAGCGCAUAGUAGGCAUGCAAUGGCUCCUCAUCAAAUCCAGUAAGAAUUUUGCCACUUGCAUUCAGUGCAUGUGUGUCUGUCUUAGGUAGUGUCUGACACAAGACCAGGGAUGCCCGUAGGUGGUUCUCACCUCCUUUUUUUUUUUUUUUUUAAGGAAUUAUUUUUAUUAUUUUAAAAUCACGUGUAUGGGUGUGUAUCUGCAUGUGGGCACGUGCUCAGGAUAGCAGGUACCCUAGGGUGCAGGAGGAGGUCCCUGAGACAGGCAGGAGCCAGAGUUACAGGUGGUUGUGAGCCUGUUCAGGUUGUGACCUGAACGCUGGGAACGAAACCCGUACUCUUUUGUUCUUUUUUCAGAGCUGGGGACCGAACCCAGGCCCUUGUGCUUCCUAGGCAAGCGCUCUACUACUGAGCUAAAUCCCCAACCCCGCCAGUACUCUUAACCUUAACUCAAGCCAUCCCUCUAGCCCUGCCCCCUUCAGGCCAUUUUGCUGAGGCUUCUGUGCAUCCUGAGGCUAUUGUGGCCCCUGUGCUAGAUGUCUGCUUUAGACUCGGAUAUAGCUUUUCUCAACCUCUCUUGGAAUAUUGCUUUAAACGAUCAUGAUAACAGUUGUCAAGGUCUUACCGCUCUCUGUCUCCCACCUUUAGUGGUUUUUAACUUGUUUGGAAACAAGGUAUUGCCACUGUAGCCCAGGCUGGCCUCGAACUCCUGUGCACAGUAUAGUCCCCGACUCCUGAGUUCGCUUGGAUUAUAGAUCUGUGUCACCAUGCCUGGGUACUCCUUUCCUAAUUUUAUUUUAUCCAUCUCUCUACCCAUGUAUGCAUGUACGCAUUCAUUUCCUUGCACACAUGUACGUGUGCACCCACUGACCUCACCCACAUGUCUAUGCAUCCGAGAAUCCAUUCAUUCAUCCCUCUAUCCAUGAAUCCAUCCACUUACGGAUCCAUUCAUUUUCCACGUAUACAUGGAUACAGCCAUUCACCUGCCCCUAUAUCCAUCCAUCCAUCCAUCCAUCCAUGCAUCUGUCCAUCCAUCCACUGUGAAACAGCCACCUGUUGCUAGGAAAGUGACCUCUUGGGAGAUUUCCGAUCUUUAAAUCACCUGCAUUCUGACAGGCAGCCAGGUGGCCAGACCCUGGACUCACAGGGCAAGUUCUGGAUGCUGUGGGCACAGAGAGGAGGGGUUACACACCCAUCAGAAAUCUCACAGAAGGCUGCAGGAGCAUCAUGUGGGGCUGAAGGCAUGGAUGUUUCAGUGGUUAAAAGCACUUGCUCCGGGGUUGGGGAUUUAGCUCAGCGGAAGAGCGCUUGCCUAGCGAGCGCAAGGCCCUGGGUUCGGUCCCCAGCUCCGAAAAAAAAAAGAAAAAAAAGUAUAUAAAAAAGCACUUGCUCCUUUUCCAGAGGACCCAUGUUCAGUUCCCAGAACUUACACUGGGUAGCUUACAAACCCCCUGUAACUCUGACACCCUCGUGUGGUCUCUGAGAACAUGCACACACGCACGCACACAUGCACGGGCAUGCACACACACACACACACACACACACACACACACACACACACACACACACCAUGCCUGAGAAUACAUACAGACACAUAUACAUAAAUACAGAUAAUUUUUUUAGAUUAACUAUAAUGCUCAAGCAUACUAGGGAAAUGGGCGGGGGAGGGGGAGAUGGUGGACCCAUGUCCCAGUCAGACAGCCCUGGUUUAGAUCCAACCUUUCACUGGUUCCAUGUUCUUGGUCCAGCCCUUGGCCAUUUCUGAGCUUCCUUUCCUCAUCACUAGGUAGAGAAAGGGAUACAUCUGAGCAGGGUAACAGAGAGGGUUACCUUAGACUGCCAAGCACCAGGUGUGUAUAAGUGUCACACCAGGAACACUGACUGCUGGCCACCAGAUGUCCCCUUCCACAGACGCAGAGACCCAGGUGGUUGGGAUUGCGUGCAGCACUUGUAGCGAGCUGAGAUUUUUCCAGCUGCUGCCCUGGGCUGUGACUGGUGUCUAGGGCAUAGAAUCCUACAGCAUAGUAGGCUAAGCCAGAUUGAUUGGCAUUUGGUUGUCCUCCCUUGGAUCUAAUUAUCAAGGACCUUACGGGGAAAUCUUCAAAGACUGCAUCCUUGGGUCUCCAUCACCUUCGCUGAAUGCCCUCAUACUUCCUCCCGCGGGGAAGUAAGGAAGUCGUGUACUUGUGAGAUUCCAGCAUUCCCAGCCUACAGGUGUGCUUUGGCCUCCCAGCAA
Molecule: non-coding RNA, 8998 nt
Organism: Rattus norvegicus (Norway rat)
Lineage: Eukaryota; Metazoa; Chordata; Mammalia; Rodentia; Muridae
Source: RefSeq, a predicted model, not a curated record